AAUCUUGAGAUCCGGUUCACAGCCCUAGCUACCCGGACAGCAACCCUCUCACCGUAGUGGGGUGCUCUAGGUGAUGAUUCGGCCCGACGAACAAAUCGUGGGCAAGUACGGUGC
This 114-nucleotide non-coding RNA is filed under the name Enteractinococcus sp. RNAcentral describes it as "SAM-IV sequence". It matches the Rfam family "SAM (S-adenosyl methionine) riboswitch aptamer". Rfam says of the family: SAM-IV is a mRNA element that regulates gene expression via direct sensing of S-adenosylmethionine (SAM or AdoMet). SAM-IV riboswitches share conserved nucleotide positions with the previously described SAM-I riboswitches sequence analysis and molecular recognition experiments suggest that SAM-I and SAM-IV riboswitches share similar ligand binding sites, but have different scaffolds. Lineage: Bacteria; Bacillati; Actinomycetota; Actinomycetes; Micrococcales; Micrococcaceae. The record is from RNAcentral.